Molecule: long non-coding RNA, 557 nt
Filed under: Homo sapiens (human)
Lineage: Eukaryota; Metazoa; Chordata; Mammalia; Primates; Hominidae
Description: LHRI_LNC1963.1
Source: RNAcentral
GAGUGAGACCCUGUCUCGAAAAAAAAAAAAGGAUUUCAUCCUAAGAGCAAUGAAAAAAACUACUGAUAGAUUUUAAUUCAUGAUUUGACAUGAUCAAAUAUGCACUUCAAAAAGAUCACAAAGUGCAUGUCUUAGUGUAUAUGUAGAAUGGAAUGGCAACAAGGAAGGAUGACAGGAUGUUGUUGGACUGGUUAGGAAGCUGUUGGUUGUGUAUAUCAGUGGUUCUCAAACAGGGCCUAUUAUACUCCCAUAAGACAUUUGGCAAUUUUGGAGACAUUUUUAGUUGUCAUAACUGGGGAAGGUUGAGCAUUACUGCUAUCUGGGGAGGGUAGAGGCAAGGGUUGAUGCUACACAUCUUACAAUGCAGCCUCCUAUAACAAAGAAUUAUACAACCAGAAAUGUCAAUGGACUAAGACUGAGAAACCUGGUUGCCGAUUAUACUACUUUCAAUUCUGGUGGUAAUGCUGGUGGUGGUAGAAAAAGGUGAACAGAGAUACUUUUGUACAUAGUUAUGAGCAUGUUGUACAUAUUAUCUAUUUUAUUAUUUCGUGUUUGGC